GCAAAUUCGGUGCUACCAUGCAGUCGAGCGGUAGCACAGAGAGCUUGCUCUCGGGUGACGAGCGGCGGACGGGUGAGUAAUGUCUGGGAAACUGCCUGAUGGAGGGGGAUAACUACUGGAAACGGUAGCUAAUACCGCAUAACGUCGCAAGACCAAAGUGGGGGACCUUCGGGCCUCAUGCCAUCAGAUGUGCCCAGAUGGGAUUAGCUAGUAGGUGGGGUAACGGCUCACCUAGGCGACGAUCCCUAGCUGGUCUGAGAGGAUGACCAGCCACACUGGAACUGAGACACGGUCCAGACUCCUACGGGAGGCAGCAGUGGGGAAUAUUGCACAAUGGGCGCAAGCCUGAUGCAGCCAUGCCGCGUGUAUGAAGAAGGCCUUCGGGUUGUAAAGUACUUUCAGCGGGGAGGAAGGCGAUAAGGUUAAUAACCUUGUCGAUUGACGUUACCCGCAGAAGAAGCACCGGCUAACUCCGUGCCAGCAGCCGCGGUAAUACGGAGGGUGCAAGCGUUAAUCGGAAUUACUGGGCGUAAAGCGCACGCAGGCGGUCUGUCAAGUCGGAUGUGAAAUCCCCGGGCUCAACCUGGGAACUGCAUUCGAAACUGGCAGGCUAGAGUCUUGUAGAGGGGGGUAGAAUUCCAGGUGUAGCGGUGAAAUGCGUAGAGAUCUGGAGGAAUACCGGUGGCGAAGGCGGCCCCCUGGACAAAGACUGACGCUCAGGUGCGAAAGCGUGGGGAGCAAACAGGAUUAGAUACCCUGGUAGUCCACGCCGUAAACGAUGUCGAUUUGGAGGUUGUGCCCUUGAGGCGUGGCUUCCGGAGCUAACGCGUUAAAUCGACCGCCUGGGGAGUACGGCCGCAAGGUUAAAACUCAAAUGAAUUGACGGGGGCCCGCACAAGCGGUGGAGCAUGUGGUUUAAUUCGAUGCAACGCGAAGAACCUUACCUGGUCUUGACAUCCACAGAACUUGCCAGAGAUGCCUUGGUGCCUUCGGGAACUGUGAGACAGGUGCUGCAUGGCUGUCGUCAGCUCGUGUUGUGAAAUGUUGGGUUAAGUCCCGCAACGAGCGCAA
Molecule: ribosomal RNA, 1071 nt
Filed under: Klebsiella pneumoniae
Lineage: Bacteria; Pseudomonadati; Pseudomonadota; Gammaproteobacteria; Enterobacterales; Enterobacteriaceae
Description: bacterial SSU rRNA
Rfam family: Bacterial small subunit ribosomal RNA
Source: RNAcentral